RNAcentral lists this ribosomal RNA (253 nucleotides) under uncultured bacterium. RNAcentral describes it as "partial 16S ribosomal RNA". It matches the Rfam family "Bacterial small subunit ribosomal RNA", at positions 524 to 776 of the family's 1533-position model. The record is from RNAcentral.
UACGAAGGGUGCAAGCGUUAGUCGGAAUUACUGGGCGUAAAGCGUGCGUAGGUGGUUUCUUAAGUCCGUUGUGAAAGCCCUGGGCUCAACCUGGGAAUUGCAUUGGAUACUGGCAGGCUAGAGUGCGGUAGAGGAUGGCGGAAUUCCCGGUGUAGCAGUGAAAUGCGUAGAGAUCGGGAGGAACAUCUGUGGCGAAGGCGGCCAUCUGGACCAGCACUGACACUGAGGCACGAAAGCGUGGGGAGCAGACAGG